This is a long non-coding RNA of Oncorhynchus kisutch (coho salmon), 1680 nucleotides long. RefSeq lists it as uncharacterized. Lineage: Eukaryota; Metazoa; Chordata; Actinopteri; Salmoniformes; Salmonidae. The transcript is spliced from 3 exons. The record is from RefSeq and is a predicted model, not a curated record.
UGGAUCACUGUUGGCAUAAACAAUAUUAGCUGUUUAGAAGCCGGUCCUAUGCAAUUGUAGACUUGGCUAUGUAGCAUAUCUGUGCAUGAAUAAUUAUUCUGCAUGACAUAUAAAACAAAAGGAGUGUACUUACACAUUCAUAAUUUUGGCAGACUCAUAGACUCCAACGGUAAGGUAGUCCUGCUUCUUUGCAGACACCAACAACUCCUCCAGGGCUGUGCCUGCACUUUGCACUCUGAAGACGAAAAAAAGACACCGGUGUUAUUAUAAAGUCAUUACAUAAGAUCUCUCCAUCCAUUCUCUCUGACCUGUUCUCCAGGCCAUCCACAUACACCUUCUUCUUCUUCCUACUCUCCUGGGCCGACUGCUUGUUGCGGAUCUUUCUCCUCACCCUCUUCAGUGUCCUCUCCUCAGUCUGAGACAGCGAGAGACAGACUACUCACUUGACAUGGUCGUCUGAUGAACACGAGAGAACACCACCAGAUCUUUAUGGUCUCACAUGAACAGUAAAGUUAUGGAACCUUACAAGGAUAUUUCUGUGAAAUGUUCUAAUCCAAGGAUGAGUCAAGUGACUCUGAACUCAAAUCGUCUGAACUUAAUCUCAAAAGCAUGGGGAAAAUAAAGACCGCACCACCUAAUUCCACCUAACUGAAAAUCUGAUUGCUGAUUGGCUGGCGUGCUACAUUCUUCAGGAUUCAUGACCAGCUGGGCUGGGGGCGGUGUAAGGUUAGACAGCUGGGAACCCCUUCAUAUGUCAUGUGUAGCCCCCUAGAGUUAGUCUAAAGAUGCUCAAACUACCAACAAACUAUUCAAUUAAUUGAACUGUGAACAGACAUUUUAUUGUCAUGCAACUACUCCUUCAUACCACCCAAAGCUAUGAACCUGUUAGCCAAGUGUAAAGGUCUAGAUCAACACUUACCCAGAUCAAUAAAGACAUCCAUAUCCAACUUCUCUGCCCUCACGCUCUGUAGAGCAUCCACGUCCUCUUCCUGGAGCAGAUAGUAGCUGUGGUCUGUCUGCACGGUCAGGGCCUGAGGGUACUCAGCCUGGAGCUCCAGGGCCAUCAGGGGAUUGUUGGAGUAGUCUGGGCUGGACAGGGAGUACCCUGGGCUGGGCGCAGGGUCACCGUCACUCCCCUGGGAGCUGGUGAAGGCCAGUAAAUUCUGUCCGACUAUGCCGCCAGUGCUGCUGUCGUCAGAGAUGCCGCUAUCGCUGCCCAGUGGAGAUUGGGAGGGACAGGAGGUGGCAAUGUUGUUUUCUCCCUCAAGCAAGCUGGACAGGAAGUCCUCAGUGUCCAUGCCUGUCAGCAUCUACAAUACAGCAGGAAGUUAGUGUCCAUUCUAUUCAAGAUUACUUGUUUAUCCCACAAAGAACAAUUGUGAAAUAGAGUUUACCUGCUAUAAAAUAAGGAAGUAUGUCACAUUUUGAUGUAAUUCGAUAAUAAACUACUUCUGCUUUACUAGUACAACAUGCAAUUAAAUUAAAAGGUUUGUUUCCUGCCAAUCAUCAAACUAUUAUCGGUUAGUAAACAUAAAACAGUGUUAUUCCUGAGUGGGAGACAUACAUCUUGCUUAGAGAGCCAGUUUUCUAGCCCACUUCCAUAUGGGAAGAAGGGGUCAUUAGCUCCCGUCUCUCCUUCCUGGAACAGGAUCCCCAGAAGAUCCGCCCCAUCCAUAUCAG